This 507-nucleotide ribosomal RNA is filed under the name uncultured bacterium. RNAcentral's name for it is "bacterial SSU rRNA". It matches the Rfam family "Bacterial small subunit ribosomal RNA", at positions 521 to 1024 of the family's 1533-position model. The record is from RNAcentral.
UAAUACAAAGGGUGCAANCGUUGUUCGGAAUUAUUGGGCGUAAAGGGCGCGUACGCGGUGCGGUAAGUCUCUUGUGAAAUCUCCGGGCUCAACUCGGAGUCUGCAAGGGAAACUGCCGUGCUUGAGUGUGGGAGAGGUGAGUGGAAUUCCCGGUGUAGCGGUGAAAUGCGUAUAUAUCGGGAGGAACACCUGUGACGAAAGCGGCUCACUGGACCACAACUGACGCUGAGGCGCGAAAGCUAUGGGAGCNAACAGUAUUAGAUACCCUGGUAGUCCUAGCCCUAAACGACGAUCGCUUGGUGUACCCCGUACCCAAUCCUGCUGUGCCGAACCUAACGCCAUAACAAUCCGCCUGGGGGAGUUCGGUCGCAAAGCUGAAACUCCAAGGAAUUGACGGGGCCCGCACACACNGUGGAACAUGUUGUUCAAUCCACGCCACCCGAAUAACCUCUCUCUGUGCUCUCAACCGUUAUUGGAAUGAAGGUNAAAUACUUCCUUCUCGCAGAA